Chelonoidis abingdonii (Abingdon island giant tortoise) is the source of this 158-nucleotide small nucleolar RNA. RefSeq annotates it as small nucleolar RNA SNORA5. Lineage: Eukaryota; Metazoa; Chordata; Testudines; Testudinidae. The record is from RefSeq and is a predicted model, not a curated record.
UGCUGCCCAGACACAGCCAGAGCCAGGCCCUGCCCCAGCUGGGAUCAGGGCCCUGUUGUGCCAGGCGCUGCCCAGACACAGCCAGAGCCAGGCCCUGCCCCAGCUGAGGUUGGUUCUGUUGUGCCAGGCGCUGCCUAGACAUGCAGGCAGAGACAGUU